This 448-nucleotide long non-coding RNA is filed under the name Brassica napus (rape). Its description in RNAcentral is "long non-coding RNA (BNAP_LNC010228)". The record is from RNAcentral. Lineage: Eukaryota; Viridiplantae; Streptophyta; Magnoliopsida; Brassicales; Brassicaceae.
CCACUUUUACCCUCAUCUUUAAUAAAGGGUAAAAGACAUUUAUAACAUUCUGAUUAACUUUGACAAAAAAAAACAUAUGGUUAACUAAUCUAAACUUAAAACAUCAACUCUAAACCUUAAAUCAUCAAUUAUAAACCCUAAACCAUGAAACAUCAACUCUAAACCCUAAACUCCGAAACAUCAACUCUAAACCUUAAACCCUAAACCUUUAAAUCUAAACCCUAAAACAUCAACUCUAAACCCUAGACAUAAACCCUAAACCCUAAAUCUAAACUCAAAACAUCAACUUUAAACCCUAAAUCAUCAACUCUAAACCCUAAACCAUGAAACAUCAACUCUAAACCCUAAACCCCAAAACAUCAACUCUAAACCCUAAACCCCGAAACAUCAACUCUAAACCCUAAACUCUAAACCUUCAAAUCUAAACCCUAAAACAUCAACUCUAAAC